CCUACGGGUGGCUGCAGUGGGGAAUAUUGGACAAUGGGCGAAAGCCUGAUCCAGCCAUGCCGCGUGUGUGAAGAAGGCCUUCGGGUUGUAAAGCACUUUCAGUGGGGAAGAAAGCCUUGGGGCUAAUACCCUCGAGGAAGGACAUCACCCACAGAAGAAGCACCGGCUAACUCCGUGCCAGCAGCCGCGGUAAUACGGAGGGUGCGAGCGUUAAUCGGAAUUACUGGGCGUAAAGCGCGCGUAGGCGGUCUGAUAAGCCGGUUGUGAAAGCCCCGGGCUCAACCUGGGAACGGCAUCCGGAACUGUCAGGCUAGAGUGCAGGAGAGGAAGGUAGAAUUCCUGGUGUAGCGGUGAAAUGCGUAGAGAUCGGGAGGAAUACCAGUGGCGAAGGCGGCCUUCUGGACUGACACUGACGCUGAGGUGCGAAAGCGUGGGUAGCAAACAGGAUUAGAUACCCCUGUAGUC
Molecule: ribosomal RNA, 465 nt
Filed under: Vreelandella stevensii
Lineage: Bacteria; Pseudomonadati; Pseudomonadota; Gammaproteobacteria; Oceanospirillales; Halomonadaceae
Description: partial 16S ribosomal RNA
Rfam family: Bacterial small subunit ribosomal RNA
Source: RNAcentral